GCUGGCGGUUAGCGAGAGCAGGAGCGGGGGAGGUGAAAGCUGGCGCCAUGGUAGAGAAGGAGGAGGCCUGCGGUGGCGGCAUCAGCGAGGAGGCGGCGGCGCAGUAUGACCGACAGAUCCGCCUGUGGGGACUGGAGGCUCAGAAGCGGCUUCGAGCUUCCCGGGUGCUGAUUGUUGGCAUGAAAGGACUUGGGGCUGAAAUUGCCAAGAAUCUUAUCCUGGCAGGAGUAAAAGGGCUCACCAUGCUGGACCACGAACAGGUAUCUCCAGAAGACCCUGGAGCUCAGUUCUUGAUUCGGACUGGGUCUGUGGGCCGAAAUAGGGCCGAGGCCUCGUUAGAACGAGCCCAGAAUCUCAACCCCAUGGUGGAUGUAAAGGUGGACACUGAAGAUAUAGAGAAGAAGCCAGAGUCCUUCUUCACGAAAUUUGAUGCGGUGUGCCUGACUUGCUGCUCCAGAGAUGUCAUCAUUAAAGUCGACCAGAUCUGUCACAGAAACAGCAUCAAGUUCUUCACAGAUGUCUUUGGGUACCAUGGGUACACCUUUGUAAAUCUUGGAGAGCAUGAAUUUGUAGAAGAGAAAACCAAAGUUGCCAAAGUCAGCCAAGGAGUGGAAGAUGGACCUGAUGCCAAGAGAGCAAAGCUUGAUUCAUCGGAGACAACCAUGGUCAAAAAGAAAGUGCUUUUCUGCCCUGUCAAAGAGAAUCUAGAAGUGGACUGGAGUGGAGAGAAAGCCAAGGCUGCCCUGAAGCGUACUGCCACAGACUAC
RNA transcript from Mastomys coucha (southern multimammate mouse), 767 nucleotides. It is a transcript of the gene named SUMO-activating enzyme subunit 1 pseudogene, with no coding region annotated. The record is from RefSeq and is a predicted model, not a curated record. Lineage: Eukaryota; Metazoa; Chordata; Mammalia; Rodentia; Muridae. The transcript has a single exon.